AGUUGGGCACUCUAAGGCGACGAGCGGCCGGUAAAUAACCGGAGGAAGGUGGGGAUGACGUCAAAUCAUCAUGCCCCUUAUGACCUGGGCUACACACGUGCUACAAUGGGCGGUACAAAGGGUCGCGAACCCGCGAGGGGGAGCCAAUCCCAAAAAGCCGCUCUCAGUUCGGAUUGCAGGCUGCAACUCGCCUGCAUGAAGCCGGAAUCGCUAGUAAUCGCGGAUCAGCAUGCCCGCGGUCCGAAUACGUUCCCGGGCCUU
RNAcentral lists this ribosomal RNA (261 nucleotides) under uncultured Anoxybacillus sp. Its description in RNAcentral is "partial 16S ribosomal RNA". It matches the Rfam family "Bacterial small subunit ribosomal RNA", at positions 1129 to 1382 of the family's 1533-position model. Lineage: Bacteria; Bacillati; Bacillota; Bacilli; Caryophanales; Anoxybacillaceae. The record is from RNAcentral.